Molecule: ribosomal RNA, 548 nt
Filed under: uncultured bacterium
Lineage: Bacteria
Description: bacterial SSU rRNA
Rfam family: Bacterial small subunit ribosomal RNA
Source: RNAcentral
UGGGGAAUAUUGGACAAUGGGCGAAAGCCUGAUCCAGCCAUGCCGCGUGUGUGAAGAAGGCCUUUUGGUUGUAAAGCACUCUAAGUGGGGAGGAAAAGCUUAUGGUUAAUACCCAUAAGCCCUGACGUUACCCACAGAAUAAGCACCGGCUAACUCUGUGCCAGCAGCCGCGGUAAUACAGAGGGUGCAAGCGUUAAUCGGAAUUACUGGGCGUAAAGCGCGCGUAGGUGGUUAUUUAAGUCAGAUGUGAAAGCCCCGGGCUUAACCUGGGAACUGCAUCUGAUACUGGAUAACUAGAGUAGGUGAGAGGGGAGUAGAAUUCCAGGUGUAGCGGUGAAAUGCGUAGAGAUCUGGAGGAAUACCGAUGGCGAAGGCAGCUCCCUGGCAUCAUACUGACACUGAGGUGCGAAAGCGUGGGUAGCAAACAGGAUUGGAUACCCUGGUAGUCCACGCCGUAAACGAUGUCUACCAGUCGUUGGGUCUUUUAAAGACUUAGUGACGCAGUUAACGCAAUAAGUAGACCGCCUGGGGAGUACGGCCGCAGGGUU